RNAcentral lists this ribosomal RNA (240 nucleotides) under uncultured Lactobacillus sp. Its description in RNAcentral is "partial 16S ribosomal RNA". It matches the Rfam family "Bacterial small subunit ribosomal RNA", at positions 122 to 354 of the family's 1533-position model. The record is from RNAcentral. Lineage: Bacteria; Bacillati; Bacillota; Bacilli; Lactobacillales; Lactobacillaceae.
UAACCUGCCCAAGAGAUCGGGAUAACACCUGGAAACAGAUGCUAAUACCGGACAACAACAGAUGAUGCCUAUCAACUGUUUAAAAGAUGGUUCUGCUAUCACUCUUGGAUGGACCUGCGGUGCAUUAGCUAGUUGGUAGGGUAACGGCCUACCAAGGCGAUGAUGCAUAGCCGAGUUGAGAGACUGAUCGGCCACAUUGGGACUGAGACACGGCCCAAACUCCUACGGGAGGCAGCAGGU